Molecule: ribosomal RNA, 209 nt
Filed under: uncultured Lactobacillus sp.
Lineage: Bacteria; Bacillati; Bacillota; Bacilli; Lactobacillales; Lactobacillaceae
Description: partial 16S ribosomal RNA
Rfam family: Bacterial small subunit ribosomal RNA
Source: RNAcentral
GGAAACAGAUGCUAAUACCGGAUAACAACAGAUGAUGCCUAUCAACUGUUUAAAAGAUGGUUCUGCUAUCACUCUUGGAUGGACCUGCGGUGCAUUAGCUAGUUGGUAGGGUAACGGCCUACCAAGGCGAUGAUGCAUAGCGAGUUGAGAGACUGAUCGGCCACAUUGGGACUGAGACACGGCCCAAACUCCUACGGGAGGCAGCAGCG